GAUGAACGCUGGCGGCGUGCCUAAUACAUGCAAGUCGAGCGAACAGACGAGGAGCUUGCUCCUCUGACGUUAGCGGCGGACGGGUGAGUAACACGUGGAUAACCUACCUAUAAGACUGGGAUAACUUCGGGAAACCGGAGCUAAUACCGGAUAAUAUAUUGAACCGCAUGGUUCAAUAGUGAAAGACGGUUUUGCUGUCACUUAUAGAUGGAUCCGCGCCGCAUUAGCUAGUUGGUAAGAUAACGGCUUACCAAGGCAACGAUGCGUAGCCGACCUGAGAGGGUGAUCGGCCACACUGGAACUGAGACACGGUCCAGACUCCUACGGGAGGCAGCAGUAGGGAAUCUUCCGCAAUGGGCGAAAGCCUGACGGAGCAACGCCGCGUGAGUGAUGAAGGUCUUCGGAUCGUAAAACUCUGUUAUUAGGGAAGAACAAAUGUGUAAGUAACUAUGCACGUCUUGACGGUACCUAAUCAGAAAGCCAUGGCUAACUACGUG
This 497-nucleotide ribosomal RNA is filed under the name uncultured bacterium. RNAcentral describes it as "partial 16S ribosomal RNA". It matches the Rfam family "Bacterial small subunit ribosomal RNA", at positions 28 to 507 of the family's 1533-position model. The record is from RNAcentral.